Chelonia mydas (Green sea turtle) is the source of this 1243-nucleotide long non-coding RNA. RefSeq lists it as uncharacterized. The transcript has 3 exons. The record is from RefSeq and is a predicted model, not a curated record. Lineage: Eukaryota; Metazoa; Chordata; Testudines; Cheloniidae.
GGCCUGAGAGACUGGGAUGGCUCCCCAGGCAGAGCUCAUCUGCCAAAGCUGAGCAGACUGGCUGGCUCUCUGGGACAUUUCCUUCCCCAGUGAGGAAGGGUGGCACAAGCAUCCACCACUGUGAAAUCACCGGAACCGACUGACUGUUUGCUCUUGCAACAUUCUUGACACCAAAUCAGGUGAAAUGUUUUCUUAGGCCAUAUGUUCCCCUCUCUCCCAUGGCUUGAUGGAGAACAGAUGCACAGAUCUCCGAGGGAAAAGGGAAUGAAGUUAAGAGCCGAGGUCUUUGACAGUGGAGCUCAGAGGCGUCAGACUGCUUUAAGCUAAUGGGAUGAAUGUCAUCUCGAGAUCAUGAGCUGCUCAACAUCCUUCAAGAAACAGAAGAAUGUCUGGCAGAGAUUAGCUGCUCACCUGACCAUCCCUCACUGGUCCUCAGCACGACAACUGCGCGUUGCCAAUUUAGAAGAUGUCCUUGUACCAGAGCUCAUAUCCAGCUGUGUUUGCUCACGUUCUGUCCCCUAACAAUGUUCCUCUGAACUCUGAGAUAUAGAAAAACAUUCAGUUUUUCAAAUGCAUGAGGAGAAGUCUCGACCUUGGUUUAUCAUCCCAUUGAUAAUCUAACUGAAUUAUAGAUUCUGUUCUGAAGAAUCCGUCCUAUUGUAAGUGUCUUGCAAAGUGCAAAGAGCAGCAUUAUAUUAUAUGCUUAUCUUUCUGAAACAUAUGGGUAAGAGGUAGUUCAACAAUUCAGAUCAAGUACUUCACAUCCCAGCCUCUGGAAUGCUUUCAAGCAUUGUGCUGUGUUUUGCCCUGUGCAAAAGCAGGUUUUCGUUUGGCUGGAGUCAGCGGAUGCCUUUGGAUGUUUUACAAUGAAUGCCUCUCUUAAAAUUGUGCAGGGUCAGGGUAAAAACCUCACAGCCUAUCCUCACAGCCGUCCUAACCUCACAGCCCUGUCAACAGUUGCAGAACGGUGCAAAUUCCUGGUAAUACAGCUUGAGAAGUCGUAAAGAAAUUGGUUGUGAAGAAAUGAUGCGGAAAUGCCACAAGUAUGAGACACAUCCAGCUGUAUGGGCGCAUCCACCCGGUAUAUUGACAGGGCAGGCGUUUUUCUUUUUUCCCUGCACCUUAGUCAUGAAGCAAAGCCAUAUUUCUUGCCAUUCUCUGGCCUUUAGCCUAGCAUGUUAUUUUACACCUCAUAAAACGUUUUAUUAAUAAAACUACAAAAUAAAAAAUAAUUGUCAAUGUC